RNAcentral lists this long non-coding RNA (258 nucleotides) under Trifolium pratense (red clover). RNAcentral's name for it is "long non-coding RNA (TPRA_LNC010488)". The record is from RNAcentral. Lineage: Eukaryota; Viridiplantae; Streptophyta; Magnoliopsida; Fabales; Fabaceae.
UUAUGUCCCCACCAAAACGAGUUCAUCAUCUUCUCAAUCUCAUCACAAAGGGAGGAUGGAAUUAGAAAUAUGCUCAUAACAUAGGAUGGGAUUGAUUGUAGGACCGAUUUGAUUAAAAUCUCUCUGCCUGCUUGNGGGAGCCCAAGAUAUUUACCAGUUCCUAAUACUUGUUGCACUCCUAAGAUGGAUGCAACAGAGUCUUUAACAGAAGCAGCAACAUUACGGCUACAAUAGAAUUCAGAUUUUUGCAAAUUGAUG